This 80-nucleotide transfer RNA is filed under the name Erinaceus europaeus (western European hedgehog). It matches the Rfam family "tRNA". From Rfam's summary of the family: Transfer RNA (tRNA) molecules are approximately 80 nucleotides in length. Their secondary structure includes four short double-helical elements and three loops (D, anti-codon, and T loops). The record is from Rfam by way of RNAcentral. Lineage: Eukaryota; Metazoa; Chordata; Mammalia; Eulipotyphla; Erinaceidae.
GGAGAUAUAGCAUAGUGGUUAUGCAAAAGACUUCUAUACCUGAGCCUCCACAGUCCUAGGUUCAAUCCCCAGCAUUACCA